GACGAACGCUGGCGGCGUGCUUAACACAUGCAAGUCGAACGGAAAGGCCCUUCGGGGUACUCGAGUGGCGAACGGGUGAGUAACACGUGGGUGAUCUGCCCUGCACUUUGGGAUAAGCCUGGGAAACUGGGUCUAAUACCGAAUAGGACCACGCGCUUCAUGGUGUGUGGUGGAAAGCUUUUGCGGUGUGGGAUGGGCCCGCGGCCUAUCAGCUUGUUGGUGGGUAAUGGCCUACCAAGGCGACGACGGGUAGCCGGCCUGAGAGGGUGACCGGCCACACUGGGACUGAGAUACGGCCCAGACUCCUACGGGAGGCAGCAGUGGGGAAUAUUGCACAAUGGGCGCAAGCCUGAUGCAGCGACGCCGCGUGAGGGAUGACGGCCUUCGGGUUGUAAACCUCUUUCAAUAGGGACGAAGCGCAAGUGACGGUACCUAUAGAAGAAGCACCGGCCAACUACGUG
RNAcentral lists this ribosomal RNA (461 nucleotides) under uncultured bacterium. RNAcentral describes it as "partial 16S ribosomal RNA". It matches the Rfam family "Bacterial small subunit ribosomal RNA", at positions 28 to 507 of the family's 1533-position model. The record is from RNAcentral.